Molecule: ribosomal RNA, 253 nt
Filed under: uncultured bacterium
Lineage: Bacteria
Description: partial 16S ribosomal RNA
Rfam family: Bacterial small subunit ribosomal RNA
Source: RNAcentral
UACAGAGGUGGCAAGCGUUGUUCGGAAUUACUGGGCGUAAAGGGCGCGUAGGCGGCCAUCUAAGUCAGACGUGAAAUCCCCCGGCUUAACCUGGGAACUGCGUCUGAUACCGGACGGCUAGAGUAUGGGAGAGGGAUGUAGAAUUCCAGGUGUAGCGGUGAAAUGCGUAGAUAUCUGGAGGAACACCGGUGGCGAAGGCGGCGUUCUGGACUGUUACUGACACUGAGGAACGAAAGCCAGGGGAGCAAACGGG